Molecule: non-coding RNA, 133 nt
Filed under: Antarctobacter aquimaris
Lineage: Bacteria; Pseudomonadati; Pseudomonadota; Alphaproteobacteria; Rhodobacterales; Roseobacteraceae
Source: RNAcentral
UAUCGCUCAAAAAGAGGGGAACACGGAAGCCGGUGAAAGUCCGGCACGGUCGCGCCACUGUGAUCGCGAAAGCGAAAGUCAGACACGAAUCCUCGGAAGAAAACUCAUGACGCGUCAUCACAAGGAGUUCCCA